RNAcentral lists this ribosomal RNA (253 nucleotides) under uncultured bacterium. RNAcentral's name for it is "partial 16S ribosomal RNA". It matches the Rfam family "Bacterial small subunit ribosomal RNA", at positions 524 to 776 of the family's 1533-position model. The record is from RNAcentral.
UACGGAGGGUGCAAACGUUGCUCGGAAUCAUUGGGCGUAAAGCGCACGUAGGCGGUCGGCUAUGUCGGAUGUGAAAGCCUCGGGCUUAACCCGAGAAGGGCAUCCGAAACUGGCUGGCUUGAGUACGGAAGAGGGUCUCGGAAUUCCCGGUGUAGAGGUGAAAUUCGUAGAUAUCGGGAGGAACACCAGUGGCGAAGGCGGAGACCUGGGCCGAUACUGACGCUGAGGUGCGAAAGCGUGGGGAGCAAACGGG